CCGGCCGGUUUUUUUUUUGAUUCAUUACACAUAUUUAUUUAUAAUCUUAGUGUUAGUCUUCGUUUCGACUCAGUCGCUGGGGAAACGUUGAAGUAGAAUUGAAGUGCAUGCUUUUGGGAAUACGAAAAAAUACGCAAAGUUAUUUAUUUAAAAUAAUAAUACUUAUUUGCUUAGUAGUGAUGAAGUGCGAUUAUGAAAUGAAAUUAUAUCACACAGAAGCGCAGUGAGAUUAACGGUAAAAACAGUAACUUAAAAGCGUAGUCCCCAGACCCCCCGCGCGGUUUGGCAUUAUUGAAUUCUUUGUGUGAAAAAAGCAAUAAA
Rhagoletis zephyria (snowberry fruit fly) is the source of this 321-nucleotide long non-coding RNA. RefSeq lists it as uncharacterized. The record is from RefSeq and is a predicted model, not a curated record. NCBI's taxonomy places the organism in Eukaryota, Metazoa, Arthropoda, Insecta, Diptera, Tephritidae.